CAGAAAGUCCUGUUAGCAGAGCUGGGGGACGCUGGAGGAACUUGGACCAGUGGUCCUCACAUUUCAGGCUGUUUAAGAGUCACCUGUAGAGCUUACUACUGCAGAUUCCUAGGACCCUCCCCAGACCUACUGAGUCUGAAUUUCUAGGGUGGGGUCGGAAUCUGCCUUUUUAGCAGGUACCCCAGAGGGUUCUGAUGCAGGUUGUCUGCAAAUCACACCUUGAGAAAUGCUGGCUUAGAGAAAAUAAACAUUUUAGCCUGGCCUUCCAGAAAGCAGGAUCUGAGGCAAGGGCAAAGGUACUAAUACUUUAUCAGGGAGGUGAAAUCCCAGGAUGGUGAGGCUGAGGAGGAAGUGAGGAAGAUACAGUAGGAUACGCUGACAUUUUCUGUGGGCUGCCAUUUCAAAAUAAGCCAUGAAGAAUCAAGCAGGUCGCUCAGCACGUGGGGCUGCUCCAGACACUUUGCUGGGAGGAAUCACACCUCAGCAUCAUUGGAGGGAGAAGGAAAUAGGGGAAUCUGGUUCUCUCCCCACCCUACUCUGACUCUUGUUUCCUGUUGGUAAAAUUCACCCCACUGGGGGCUCACUCCCCUACCUUUCAGGAUUGUGUCAGCUGUCCCCUUGGUGGCCUCUCAGGAAGCUAUAUCCUACAGCCCUGGAAAUAGAGGGGCAGCUGGGGCCGGGCGGGGCGGACACUGGCCUAGAGAGAAAGGAAGAAGGAAGCAGUUGAUUUCUGCUUGUGAGAAGAUGCACAGGUUUGUCCUCAAUAGACUAAAGAAGUCAGCUUGGGAAACGUAGGUUUCCAGUUCCCGUAAUGAAUUACAGUUUUGAAGCUGGAUAUUAAGAAGAAAGAUUUCUAGGGAAAUUAUCUAAAUAGAGUUAUGUUAACAAUGCUAUUAACAAAGGAAGCCUCAAAUUUGUAUCCAUAGUAAAUAUCUUUAAAUUCUCCUUUGUUUGUAUUUCUUGCCCCAGAAAAACUUGAAGUGAAAGAAGACACUGAUGAUCAAAUGACAUGUGUGAGCAGUUGCAGAUUUUUCCAAAAGGGAGGCUGCAUAAAUUCAAGGAGGAAACCAGUAUUCCUUAGAAGCAUGUUUUAUGGUUGACAUGGAAUUCUUGGAGAUCUUUUUCCCUGUUUAUUUGUAGAAC
RNAcentral lists this long non-coding RNA (1143 nucleotides) under Equus caballus (horse). RNAcentral's name for it is "lncRNA (ENSECAG00000042282.2)". The record is from RNAcentral. Lineage: Eukaryota; Metazoa; Chordata; Mammalia; Perissodactyla; Equidae.